GUUAUGGGAGAUUGACUCCGUUGGCGAAAACUCUGCAAGAAGACCCCUCGUGCCAGUUGUGUACUAUUCUACAAAAUUAUGUCCUGUUAAACGAUUUAAAGAGCAUCGAAGUUAACUUGAAGGAGUCAGAUUUACCUUUACUAUCAACGCUGCGACAGGGCGUGAUAGUGUUGAGCAGGCAGUGGAAGAACGUCCUUUACACGCCGUUACUAUUGGAACAUAAUUACAAAACGAAGCAUGUUAAACCAUUGAACGUGACGUUCGCGGUUUCAGACCCGGACGAGCGAAUAAGCAACGGUGUACCGGAGGAUAGCUAUGUAAAAUUCAGU
Ceratina calcarata is the source of this 329-nucleotide long non-coding RNA. RefSeq lists it as uncharacterized. NCBI's taxonomy places the organism in Eukaryota, Metazoa, Arthropoda, Insecta, Hymenoptera, Apidae. The record is from RefSeq and is a predicted model, not a curated record. The transcript has 3 exons.